AUUGAACGCUGGCGGCAUGCCUUACACAUGCAAGUCGAACGGCAGCACGGGUGCUUGCACCUGGUGGCGAGUGGCGAACGGGUGAGUAAUACAUCGGAACGUACCUUAUCGUGGGGGAUAACGCAGCGAAAGUUGCGCUAAUACCGCAUACGCCCUGAGGGGGAAAGCGGGGGACCGUAAGGCCUCGCGCGAUUAGAGCGGCCGAUGUCUGAUUAGCUUGUUGGUGAGGUAAAAGCUCACCAAGGCGAUGAUCAGUAGCUGGUCUGAGAGGACGAUCAGCCACACUGGGACUGAGACACGGCCCAGACUCCUACGGGAGGCAGCAGUGGGGAAUUUUGGACAAUGGGGGCAACCCUGAUCCAGCAAUGCCGCGUGAGUGAAGAAGGCCUUCGGGUUGUAAAGCUCUUUUGUCAGGGAAGAAACAGCAGCUCUAACACAGUCUGCGAAUGACGGUACCUGAAGAAUAAGCACCGGCUAACUACGUGCCAGCAGCCGCCGCGG
RNAcentral lists this ribosomal RNA (501 nucleotides) under uncultured bacterium. RNAcentral's name for it is "partial 16S ribosomal RNA". It matches the Rfam family "Bacterial small subunit ribosomal RNA", at positions 30 to 523 of the family's 1533-position model. The record is from RNAcentral.